AUGCGAGUUAGCAUAAUGCGGUACACCUGCACACCCGUUCACCAGGCGAGCUUGGCUGCCAGCUACGGGGAGAAAGCUCAGGUCCGAAGGCACAUCUUCAUUUCCAUCGGGCCACACCCAAGGCACAUGGAGGGCGAAUUAGAGCUGCAACUGCCGGCCUACACCACAGCCCCAGAAACUAGGGAUCCGAGCCUCAUCUGUGAUCUACACUGCAGUUCAUGGCAAUGCCAGAUCCUUACCCACUGAGCACAGCCAGGGAUCAAACCCGAAUCUUCAUGGAUACUAGUCAGGUUUGUUACCACUGAGCCAUAAUGGGAACUCCCUAAACGGUAUUUUAGAAAGAAAACACGGGAUGUAUGCUUGAACCAGGCACACUUGUGCUGGUUCCCCAUAUGAGCAGUAGCCUGAGAAUCAUUGGAUGUUAACCGAAAUGCUCAAUUUCUUGACAAUUUUGAUGUUAUUUGAGAAUAUCUGCAGAGACUAUUUGAAAAGAAAUUAGGCCUGUUGUCCUGACAACAGCAGAACACACAGUGGGAUAGCUCAAAGUCAUCUGGAUUUGUCCCUGACCUUGGCCUCCCUGGAAGAAGUGUUAGCUGAGCCCCAGGGGGCCCAGGACUGUGGUGGGCAGUUUGACAGGUUGAUAAGCAAUCCCAUUGGCAGUCCAGCUGUCUUGAUGCUGGACUGAUUUCCUGUGUUUCAUUACUCCCAGUGUAUUUUUAUGUUGGUCCCCUCUCUCCUGUGGGGAACAGCAUUCACCACUACCUGGAACAGCAUUUGUCACUACUCCUUCCAACCUGGAAGAGUCAAAUGUUGGGCUUAGUGGUUCAGCUCAACUUUUCAAAGGAAAAAACAGGGUCAGAGAGGUUAGGGGGCCAGUCAAGUGAGUAGUAAGCCCUGGAACUGGGAUUCCAACUCAUAUCUGCUUGAUUCCUUCCUGUCACGCCCAGGUAUUUCUGAUGGAAAUAGCAAAACCCAGGAUAUUGCAGCACACACAGGCUGAGUUCUAGCCACAACCUGGUUCUUACAUCACACAGACUCAUUUUGAACCUGAAGGAGGAAAGUGGAAAAAUGCCAAAUUGGUUUGGGAAGGGGUGGGGAGAGGAAAUGUGUGUGUGGGGGGGGUGAGGUGAAAAUGUUCUUUCUCUGCUGUGUCAUUAGGGGAACAGAAAGGGGUAAUCGUCUCAUUUUUCUUAACAGAAGCAACACAGGAAGAAAAGCAUUCAUUAAAACACUGCAUCACUGCACACUUUAGAAAGGAAGCAGCAACUCAUUUCAGUUCUGCAGGAGAAAUUUUUGCAAAUGAAUAAAGAGGGGUAGUUAAUAGGUUUUGUUUGUUUG
This 1338-nucleotide long non-coding RNA is filed under the name Sus scrofa (pig). Its description in RNAcentral is "lncRNA (ENSSSCG00030069955.1)". The record is from RNAcentral. Lineage: Eukaryota; Metazoa; Chordata; Mammalia; Artiodactyla; Suidae.